RNAcentral lists this long non-coding RNA (1271 nucleotides) under Heterocephalus glaber (naked mole-rat). Its description in RNAcentral is "lncRNA (ENSHGLG00100049525.1)". Lineage: Eukaryota; Metazoa; Chordata; Mammalia; Rodentia; Bathyergidae. The record is from RNAcentral.
GUCCCAGAAAACUCUACCAGCAAUUGUUGUGAGCCCAUUUAUGUAUACUUAAGUUUUAGAAAAAAAUUGUGAGUACCCGACAUUUCUGAUUUUUUUAAACCUUCUUAAACAUUUUUCCCAAAGAUAUUUUCAUUUUUUAAUCUCAAGCUGAUAAUGUGGUACUGCUUCAGAUAUGCAAUAAUUAAUAAAACACUUGAUGGUUACAUUUUAGGGGACCGUACCCUACCAUCUGUUGAUGGCUGUCAGACUGCUUCACUUUUUUUGAGAAUCCUUAUAUCUACACAAGUUUGUAAAUUGAAUACAUUCCGUGUCUUCUGGACAAGAUUUACAGAGCUCUGCUUAUUUGGAUGAAAAAUAGAGAGAGACAAGCUGUCAGUAUAAGUUUGCUCCAAGCUCUUCUUGUACAUUUCCAUUCCCAGAUCAAUAAUCUGUACUUUCAGGGGAUGAAGGAUGCACAGGUAAUGGGGGAAAAAAUAAGAACCAAGAUACAUCAUGUACAGGUACAAGCACCCAAUGAUAAAUGUAAACAUAUUGUAUACCUAGAAUGUACCAGUAAAAGAAUUAAAAAAAUUAAUCUGUACUUUCUUCAGGAAGCUCUGGUUCAUUUUAUUGGAGAAUAGAAUAGAAACUAAUUUCUAGAUACUAAUGGUGCUAGUUGUUACUAAGUUAUAUUCCCAUGUUGUCUCUCAGCUCUAAGGACAAGAAUGUAUACAUGUAUAUACUAACCUCUGUUCUACAUAUAUGUGUAAAUAUUCCUAUCAGUAGCCAUUUCUGUAUUUAUUAAAUUAAACAUGAGUUCAUGGUGUUGGCUCCAAUUACAGCCCCUUAAAAUUGGGAGCAUUCAAGCUUCAUUUUGCUAACCUGUAAAUUCCCACUCUAACAGUGCAAAAUCUGGGCAUCCAGUUGUACAACUUGUUACUUGUUUACUUUAUUUUAAAUUUCAGUGCACAUUCAUAGUCGUGUCAUGACUGUUAGCUUGUACUGCCAUGGGACACAGCUCUGUGAACUAAAAACAGGACUGAUGCAGAGUUCUUUGUGCCUUUAGUCUUACAGAUUCCACUCUUUUCUAAUGUUACUUAGGUCAUUUCCUUUCUCCCAUUCUCUUCCUUUAGGUCCUUCCAUACAUUUGAAAUAUGAUUACAUUGUCUUGUCACAGUCUGCAUUCUUUCCAGGAAUUCCCUUACCUCCUAAAUAAUUUAUUAAAAUUUUCAUACAUCAUAAUUUGUUCCUUGUGCUUUAAUGCACUGUAGAUUGUGACAAUGUGUAAUGAC